Molecule: ribosomal RNA, 497 nt
Filed under: uncultured bacterium
Lineage: Bacteria
Description: partial 16S ribosomal RNA
Rfam family: Bacterial small subunit ribosomal RNA
Source: RNAcentral
GACGAACGCUGGCGGCGUGCCUAAUACAUGCAAGUUGAGCGAUGAAGAUUGGUGCUUGCACCAAUUUGAAGAGCAGCGAACGGGUGAGUAACGCGUGGGGAAUCUGCCUUCGAGCGGGGGACAACAUUUGGAAACGAAUGCUAAUACCGCAUAACAACUUUAAACAUAAGUUUUAAGUUUGAAAGAUGCAAUUGCAUCACUCAAAGAUGAUCCCGCGUUGUAUUAGCUAGUUGGUGAGGUAAAGGCUCACCAAGGCGAUGAUACAUAGCCGACCUGAGAGGGUGAUCGGCCACAUUGGGACUGAGACACGGCCCAAACUCCUACGGGAGGCAGCAGUAGGGAAUCUUCGGCAAUGGACGAAAGUCUGACCGAGCAACGCCGCGUGAGUGAAGAAGGUUUUCGGAUCGUAAAACUCUGUUGGUAGAGAAGAACGUUGGUGAGAGUGGAAAGCUCAUCAAGUGACGGUAACUACCCAGAAAGGGACGGCUAACUACGUG